Megalobrama amblycephala (Wuchang bream) is the source of this 937-nucleotide long non-coding RNA. RefSeq lists it as uncharacterized. Lineage: Eukaryota; Metazoa; Chordata; Actinopteri; Cypriniformes; Xenocyprididae. The transcript has 3 exons. The record is from RefSeq and is a predicted model, not a curated record.
UGCAGCGAGUGAAAGUAGGAGGGUCAGACUCUGGAGGAUUCACACCAGCUCCAGUGUUUUUAACAGAUAGUUUCAUCAGACACUGAACAACUGAAGAAAAUGUUUCACAUGCUUGUUUUGUUCUGUUUGUGCUGGUGGAGACUGAUUGGUGUGUUUGGGGAUUCAGUGUCAGUGAUGGAGGGAGAUUCUGUCACUUCUAUACACUGAUCUUACUGAAAGAGAUGAAGAAGACGACAUAUUGUGGAAAUAUGGAGCUGAAAACUCUCUAAUAGCUAAACUGAAGGAAAAGAAGCAAACCUUCAUCACAUCUGAUGAUCUUGAUGGGAGAUUCAGAGACAGACUGAAGCUGGACGAUCAAACUGGAUCUCUGACCAUCACAAACAUCAGACCUGAACAUGCUGGAGUUUAUCAACUAGAGAUAAAGGGAGUGAAACUGACAGAAAAAACAUUCAGUGUUUGUGUGAAUGAAGCCCAUUGUUGUGAUUCUGUUGAAGCUGUGCUCCGAUUGGUCGUCACUGCUCUGAUGGGCGUGGCCGCUGGGGCUGCUGCUGUUCUUCUGGUCAAUGACGUCAGAUCAACAAGAGGUUAAACGGAGGAAACAGAACAGAUAUUAUAAAUAUUGUGGCAUAUAUUGGAGUUUUAAUCAGAAAAUAUGAAAAAAUAUGUGUGGUAUAAUUGUUCAUUGAUGGCGAAACAAAGCUUUGCUUUCCUCUGAACUGGAUCGUAAAAUCUUCUUUACCUGAAUCUGGUGUAUUGGGGUCAUCUGGUGGCCAAAACAGUUAAUAUUCUGCAAUAUUUCAUUUUAUUCUAAUACCAUCCAUUUUACAUUUCUCUGUUAAUUAUACUGUUUUCAGUUUUGCUUAAUUUAUGUGAUGUUGGCAUUUUCAUUUUGUUUUAUAAUUAUAUGCAGCAACCCUGCAAAUACAAAUGUAAAAAA